This 65-nucleotide transfer RNA is filed under the name Pedioplanis laticeps. Its description in RNAcentral is "tRNA-Trp". Lineage: Eukaryota; Metazoa; Chordata; Lepidosauria; Squamata; Lacertidae. The record is from RNAcentral.
AGAAACUUAAGUUAACCUAAACUAAAGGCCUUCAAAGCCUAAAACGGGGACAACCCCAGUUUCUG